UUUCCCAUACUGGGAUGCAGAGAUUUGGCUAUUUAAAAUAGCUGCACAAUGCUAAUGGGAUAAAGUAAAUCGCCAUGAUCUGAAGAGGGAGGAUUUGUGUCCUCCUUCUAUAUGAAAUGGCUGAACAGAAAAAU
This is a small nucleolar RNA of Sorex araneus (European shrew), 134 nucleotides long. Lineage: Eukaryota; Metazoa; Chordata; Mammalia; Eulipotyphla; Soricidae. The record is from Ensembl.